GAUGAACGCUAGCUACAGGCUUAACACAUGCAAGUCGAGGGACCGGCGCACGGGUGAGUAACACGUAUCCAACCUGCCCUUUACUCGGGGAUAGCCUUUCGUAAGAAAGAUUAAUACCCGAUAUAAUGGAUGGGGAUGCGUUCCAUUAGGUUGUUGGUGAGGUAACGGCCGACCAAGCCGUCGAUGGAUAGGGGUGCUGAGAGGAAUGGCCCCCAGAUUGGAACUGAGACACGUUGCAAACUCAUACGGGAGGAAGCAGUGAGGAAGUUUGGUCAAUGGGCGUUAGCAUGAACCAGCCAAGUAGCGUGAAGGAUGAAGGCUUAUGGGUCGUAGACUUCUUUUAUAUAAGAAUAUGUAUUAUAUGAAUAAGGAUCGGCUAACUCCGUGCCAGCAGCCGCGGUAAUUC
Molecule: ribosomal RNA, 406 nt
Filed under: uncultured bacterium
Lineage: Bacteria
Description: partial 16S ribosomal RNA
Rfam family: Bacterial small subunit ribosomal RNA
Source: RNAcentral